GGCGUAAGCGCGCGCAGGUGGUUUCUUAAGUCUGAUGUGAAAGCCCACGGCUCAACCGUGGAGGGUCAUUGGAAACUGGGAGACUUGAGUCCUUAAGAGGAAAGUGGAAUUCCAUGUGUAGCGGUGAAAUGCGUAGAGAUAUGGAGGAACACCAGUGGCGAAGGCGACUUUCUGGUCUGUAACUGACACUGAGGCGCGAAAGCGUGGGGAGCAAACAGGAUUAGAUACCCUGGUAGUCCACGCCGUAAACGAUGAGUGCUAAGUGUUAGAGGGUUUCCGCCCUUUAGUGCUGAAGUUAACGCAUUAAGCACUCCGCCUGGGGAGUACGGCCGCAAGGCUGAAACUCAAAGGAAUUGACGGGGGCCCGCACAAGCGGUGGAGCAUGUGGUUUAAUUCUAAGCAACGCGAAGAACCUUACCAGGUCUUGACAUCCUCUGACAACCCUAGAGAUAGGGCUUCUCCUUCGGGAGCAGAGUGACAGGUGGUGCAUGGUUGUCGUCAGCUCGUGUCGUGAGAUGUUGGGUUAAGUCCCGCAACGAGCGCAACCCUUGAUCUUAGUUGCCAUCAUUUAGUUGGGCACUCUAAGGUGACUGCCGGUGACAAACCGGAGGAAGGUGGGGAUGACGUCAAAUCAUCAUGCCCCUUAUGACCUGGGCUACACACGUGCUACAAUGGACGGUACAAAGAGCUGCAAGACCGCGAGGUGGAGCUAAUCUCAUAAAACCGUUCUCAGUUCGGAUUGUAGGCUGCAACUCGCCUACAUGAAGCUGGAAUCGCUAGUAAUCGCGGAUCAGCAUGCCGCGGUGAAUACGUU
Molecule: ribosomal RNA, 814 nt
Filed under: Bacillus cereus
Lineage: Bacteria; Bacillati; Bacillota; Bacilli; Caryophanales; Bacillaceae
Description: bacterial SSU rRNA
Rfam family: Bacterial small subunit ribosomal RNA
Source: RNAcentral